UCCGGGGGAAGUAUGGUUGCAAAGCUGGAACUUAAAGGAAUUGACGGAAGGGCACCACCAGGAGUGGAGCCGGUGGCUUAAUUUGACUCAACGCGGGGAAAUUUACCAGGCCCGGACACUAGAAGGAUUGACAGAUUGAGAGCUCUUUCUUGAUUUGGUGGAUGGUGGUACAUGGCCGUUCUUAGUUGGUGGAGUGAUUGGUCUGGUUAAAUCCGAUAACGAACGAGACUCUGGCCUGCUAAAUAAGGCGGCGGGUUCCCAACUCCGCUCCGCGGUUCGGGUCACGUGCGGUCUGCGUCUCUGGGGUUCGCUCCUUGGGCGUGGGCAGUCGGGGCUCGGCUCGGGCGGGGCCGCCCGUCCUUUGCGCUUCUCUUCUUAGAGGGACAAGGCAGCUUCAAGCUGCGUGAAAUGGGGCAAUAACAGGUCUGUGAUGCCCUUAGAUGUUCUGGGCCGCACACGCGCUACACUGAGGGUGGCAGCGUGUUUAUUUUCCUGACUCGAGACGAGUUGGGUAACCCUGUCAAUCACCCUCGUGCUGGGGAUUGAGGUUUGCAAUUUUCCUUCAUGAACGAGGAAUUCCCAGUAGGUGCGAGUCAUCAGCUCGCGCCGACUACGUCCCUGCCCUUUGUA
This 630-nucleotide ribosomal RNA is filed under the name Cypridopsis vidua. RNAcentral describes it as "SSU rRNA". It matches the Rfam family "Eukaryotic small subunit ribosomal RNA", at positions 1113 to 1664 of the family's 1831-position model. Lineage: Eukaryota; Metazoa; Arthropoda; Ostracoda; Podocopida; Cyprididae. The record is from RNAcentral.